RNAcentral lists this ribosomal RNA (380 nucleotides) under Kaieteurosaurus hindsi. RNAcentral describes it as "partial small subunit ribosomal RNA". The record is from RNAcentral. Lineage: Eukaryota; Metazoa; Chordata; Lepidosauria; Squamata; Gymnophthalmidae.
UGUCCCAGUGCGAGGUUAAAUUAAGUAUUCUUGCUUAGGUUUACUGCUAAAUCCGCCUUUGUACAGGUUUUCAGUGUAUAGUUCGUUGUUAUCUGGGGCAGAUAAUGUAGCCCAUUAACACCACCCCAUUAGCUACACCUUGACCUGACUUUCUAGUAUACUACUAUUAUGCUUACUGUAAUGCUUUUAAAAGGUAAGCUGGCGACGGCGGUAUAUAGGCUGGGUGAAAUAUAUGUUACGAGGGGUGGUUAGGUGUAUCGGGGGUUAUCGAUUAUGAAACAGGCUCCUCUAGGCAGGUGGAACACCGUCAAGUCUUUUGAGUUUUAGGCCAAGGAAUAAAAGAGAUGCCCGUAAUUUUCUGGCGAAUUGGUUAAAUCAUA